This is a non-coding RNA of Taeniopygia guttata (zebra finch), 265 nucleotides long. The record is from RefSeq and is a predicted model, not a curated record. NCBI's taxonomy places the organism in Eukaryota, Metazoa, Chordata, Aves, Passeriformes, Estrildidae.
UUUCUGAGCUCUAAUUAACAUUAUCCCAAGCAUUCUCUCAAUGCUCUUUUGAUGUCAUAAAGCAUGCUGGAACUAUAAAUGAGCUGUUCUCCCAUUAACACUGCCAUGCCCCCAUCCCCUCCCUCUGUUACCCAGGCAUUAACCAACCCACUACAUCCACAGGAAGUUAAAGGCUGCACCUUUACUCACAAGAAAACAAGGUGCCAGUGAAACCUCUGUUCCUGACGGGGUAAUGCAGGCUGGAAGGCAAGAGGAGCCCUGUGGC